GACACGGCGGCAGGCGGGACGGGGACGAGGGCCGCGGAGAUGUCGGUGCUGGCGUCGAUGGCGGUGGCGUCGAUGGCGCAGACCCAGGCCUCCAGCAUCCCUAGGCCCCUGCUUCAUGCCCAGCAAUUCCUCCCAAUAAUCAGAGUUACUGGCUGCUGCUGCUGACACAGGCCUGGACCACCACGGGACACCACAUUACCAGGCCCACCACAGGUGUUGCCCUGCACAAACCUGGGAGACACAGCACCCUGAUCCCUCACCUGGUCAUGUCCUGUUGCUCCUGCUGGACCUGCUCAGCCAGAAACCACUGGCCAGAGUUGUCCCCACCGAUGGCAUCUCCUCGCCAGGCAGCACGAGGUGGAGAUGGUGCUGGGGCAGGAGCCAGCUGCAAAGCAGAAGAUUAAUUAAGAGGCUGUGCCACUGCCUCGCUGUGAUCUCAGUAACUGAACCGUUAAAGUGAUUUGUUCUUCGCAGGGUAAUUACAUUCCCCCUCUCUCUGUUAUCCAUCCCCUGAUCUGUGCUGCACCCAGUCAGGAGCAGGCCUGUGGUCCCUGAGUCCAUGUGUCAGAGGGGAGAUGGCCUGGCUGCCCCUUCUGCUUCCUGUGCCUCAGCAUUACAGCUUCUGUAGCACACAGAAACAUGCUGUUUGUGUGGACUGUGUGCUGUUUGUGUGGAUUCAACGCUUCCAGACCCUCACACAGCUCUGGGAUCUACCCAGGAGCCACUAUGGCUGGACAGAGCAGUGCUGCUACAUCACUGAUUUUGACUGAGAGUCCAACUUGGCUUUGUAUCGUGUUAUCAAUACCUGUUUCUUCUG
Vidua chalybeata is the source of this 817-nucleotide long non-coding RNA. RefSeq lists it as uncharacterized. NCBI's taxonomy places the organism in Eukaryota, Metazoa, Chordata, Aves, Passeriformes, Viduidae. The record is from RefSeq and is a predicted model, not a curated record. The transcript is spliced from 2 exons.